RNAcentral lists this ribosomal RNA (515 nucleotides) under uncultured bacterium. Its description in RNAcentral is "partial 16S ribosomal RNA". It matches the Rfam family "Bacterial small subunit ribosomal RNA", at positions 28 to 523 of the family's 1533-position model. The record is from RNAcentral.
GAUGAACGCUGGCGGCGUGCCUAAUACAUGCAAGUCGAGCGAAUGGAUUAAGAGCUUGCUCUUAUGAAGUUAGCGGCGGACGGGUGAGUAACACGUGGGUAACCUGCCCAUAAGACUGGGAUAACUCCGGGAAACCGGGGCUGAUACCGGAUAACAUUUUGAACCGCAUGGUUCGAAAUUGAACGGCGGCUUCGGGUGUCACUUAUGGAUGGACCCGCGUCGCAUUAGCUAGUUGGUGAGGUAACGGCUCACCAAGGCAACGAUGCGUAGCCGACCUGAGAGGGUGAUCGGCCACACUGGGACUGAGACACGGCCCAGACUCCUACGGGAGGCAGCAGUAGGGAAUCUUCCGCAAUGGACGAAAGUCUGACGGAGCAACGCCGCGUGAGUGAUGAAGGCUUUCGGGUCGUAAAACUCUGUUGUUAGGGAAGAACAAGUGCUAGUUGAAUAAGCUGGCACCUUGACGGUACCUAACCAGAAAGCCACGGCUAACUACGUGCCAGCCGCCGCGGUAA